This 1364-nucleotide long non-coding RNA is filed under the name Homo sapiens (human). Its description in RNAcentral is "HSALNT0313240". The record is from RNAcentral. Lineage: Eukaryota; Metazoa; Chordata; Mammalia; Primates; Hominidae.
AAAUAAGUUAAUAUAUGUAAAACCCCUAGAAUAGUGCCUUGCACAUAAUCACUUGUUAAUUAUUAGCUAUUAUUAUUACUUAGACAUAUUACAAUUAAAUUCUAGAACAAUGAAGAGAAAUGGAAAUGCUUCCAGAGAAUGAGCAUACCUACCAAGGAAAAAUAUUUAGAUUGAUCCCAGGCUUCUUAACAUUGUAAUUACAUUUGAAAACUAAGGACGUUAGAUUCAAUCAACCUUCAGAAUAUUGACCAUAUAAAGAAUCACUUUGAGAAACUCUUGAAGAAUGUAUUGAAAUAAGAAGAUGCAUAAAUAUAUAAGGAAUAUAUGAUGUUGGGCCCCACAUUUUGAGGAUAUUAUAAUAAUUUUUCAAAGCAUGGAUGAAGCAAAAUAUGUAAAUUCUAAAUAGCAUCAACACUGUUUUGAAGCUGGGAGACAACAAAAGAUGAAAAUGGUGUGAACUUGCAAAGUACAAAUAUUGCUAUAUUUAAGAAACCAAUGAAAAAUACGGGGAAACCAGUAAGUAUAGAUAUUAAGUUAGAAGCAAGAAUAAAAAUAGACAGUGAGAAUUUUCAUGUACUUCUUGUAUUCUAGUGCUUCAUUAGUCAAAUUAUAUAGGCACAUAUACUGUGGGAUGCAUUCUAGUGCUUAAUUAGUCAAAUUAUAUAGGCACAUAUACUAUGGCCCUGCAACUUCAUUCCUGGGUCUGCAUCUCAAAGAAAUUACUACAAAGGUCCAUAUAGGGAAGUGCCUUGUGCCUCCUGCCAUGAUUCUGAGGCCUCCUCAGCCAUGUGGUACUGUAAGUCCAAUUAAACUUCUUUUCCUUCCCAGUCUUGGGUACAUCUUUAUCAGCAGCACGAAAAUGGACUAAUACACUUGCCUUUUCUCUCUUCAGCGUUUUCAAGAUCUAUUGUUGAUAAUAUAUAAUAUCUUACAAGUUAUUUAAUUCUCUAAUGUAUGGGAAGCAGCGUAGCAUCGUCCUUGCUGUUGCUAUGGUAUUUAUUGCUGUUGAGCCUUCAGGAAACCUCUCUGCAUCUCGGUUUCCUCAUCUAUAAAAUGGAGAUGAUAACUGUACUUACAUCAUGGAGCUGCUAUGAGGAUCAAAGAAGUUAUCAACACUUCAGAAUAUGGCCAGCACAUAGGAACAAUAUAUCUAUUUGCUAAAUCGAAGGAUAAAAAGAAACCUACUUUGUAUGGAAAAGGAGAAAGAAAAGAGUAAGAUUGAACUAUGCUUUGCUGCAUGGUGGGUUUGAUGAAAGUGGAGUCACGCUGAUUGGUGCUCAAGAUAAAUGUCUUAGGGGAAGACUCAUACCCAGUGGAAUUUUUUUUAGUGAAAUAUCGUGGCUCAUGGACUGUGAGAUUUGUCA